This 383-nucleotide ribosomal RNA is filed under the name uncultured bacterium. RNAcentral describes it as "bacterial SSU rRNA". It matches the Rfam family "Bacterial small subunit ribosomal RNA", at positions 28 to 414 of the family's 1533-position model. The record is from RNAcentral.
GACGAACGCUGGCGGCGUGCUUAACACAUGCAAGUCGAGCGGUAAGGCCCUUUCGGGGGUACACGAGCGGCGAACGGGUGAGUAACACGUGGGUGACCUGCCCUCAGCUCUGGGAUAAGCCUGGGAAACCGGGUCUAAUACCGGAUAUGACUCCAUGACGCAUGUUGUGGGGUGGAAAGCCUUGUGCGGCUGAGGAUGGGCCCGCGGCCUAUCAGCUUGUUGGUGGGGUGAGGCCUACCAAGGCGACGACGGGUAGCCGGCCUGAGAGGGCGACCGGCACACUGGGACUGAGACACGGCCCAGACUCCUACGGGAGGCAGCAGUGGGGAAUCUUGCGCAAUGGGCGAAAGCCUGACGCAGCGACGCCGCGUGAGGGAUGACGG